Molecule: transfer RNA, 84 nt
Filed under: Eutreptiella gymnastica
Lineage: Eukaryota; Euglenozoa; Euglenophyceae; Eutreptiales; Eutreptiaceae
Description: tRNA-Ile
Rfam family: tRNA
About the family: Transfer RNA (tRNA) molecules are approximately 80 nucleotides in length. Their secondary structure includes four short double-helical elements and three loops (D, anti-codon, and T loops).
Source: RNAcentral
GCAUCUAUGGCCGAGUGGUCGAUGGCACGGGACUCAUAAUCUCGCUCUUAACAGACAUCGCUGGUUCGAAUCCAGCUGGAUGCA